RNAcentral lists this ribosomal RNA (490 nucleotides) under uncultured bacterium. RNAcentral describes it as "partial 16S ribosomal RNA". It matches the Rfam family "Bacterial small subunit ribosomal RNA", at positions 28 to 507 of the family's 1533-position model. The record is from RNAcentral.
GGUGAACGCUAGCUACAGGCUUAACACAUGCAAGUCGCGGGGCAGCAUGGGGGUUGCUUGCAAUCCCCGAUGGCGACCGGCGCACGGGUGAGUAACGCGUAUCCAACCUGCCCUUCACCACGGGAUAACCCGGCGAAAGUCGGACUAAUACCGUAUGUUGUCCAUUGACGGCAUCCGAUUUGGACGAAAGGUUUGGCGGUGAAGGAUGGGGAUGCGUCCGAUUAGCUGGACGGCGGGGUGACGGCCCACCGUGGCGACGAUCGGUAGGGGUUCUGAGAGGAAGGUCCCCCACACUGGAACUGAGACACGGUCCAGACUCCUACGGGAGGCAGCAGUGAGGAAUAUUGGUCAAUGGGCGUAAGCCUGAACCAGCCAAGUAGCGUGCAGGAUGACGGCCCUAUGGGUUGUAAACUGCUUUUAUGCGGGGAUAAAGUGGCCCACGUGUGGGUUUUUGCAGGUACCGCAUGAAUAAGGACCGGCUAAUUCCGUG